CAGUAGCCGCGGGAAUACGUAGGUGGCAAGCGUUGUCCGGAAUUAUUGGGCGUAAAGGGCUCGCAGGCGGUUUCUUAAGUCUGAUGUGAAAGCCCCCGGCUCAACCGGGGAGGGUCAUUGGAAACUGGGAAACUUGAGUGCAGAAGAGGAGAGUGGAAUUCCACGUGUAGCGGUGAAAUGCGUAGAGAUGUGGAGGAACACCAGUGGCGAAGGCGACUCUCUGGUCUGUAACUGACGCUGAGGAGCGAAAGCGUGGGGAGCGAACAGGAUUAGAGACCCCCGUAGUCCCUGUCUCUUAUAC
Molecule: ribosomal RNA, 301 nt
Filed under: uncultured bacterium
Lineage: Bacteria
Description: partial 16S ribosomal RNA
Rfam family: Bacterial small subunit ribosomal RNA
Source: RNAcentral